ACCUGAAUAGCUCAGUCGGUAGAGCAUCAGACUUCUAAUCUGAGGGUUCAGGGUUCAAGUCCCUGUUCGGUA
This 72-nucleotide transfer RNA is filed under the name Echinococcus granulosus. It matches the Rfam family "tRNA". From Rfam's summary of the family: Transfer RNA (tRNA) molecules are approximately 80 nucleotides in length. Their secondary structure includes four short double-helical elements and three loops (D, anti-codon, and T loops). Further hydrogen bonds mediate the characteristic L-shaped molecular structure. tRNAs have two regions of fundamental functional importance: the anti-codon, which is responsible for specific mRNA codon recognition, and the 3' end, to which the tRNAs corresponding amino acid is attached (by aminoacyl-tRNA synthetases). tRNAs cope with the degeneracy of the genetic code in two manners: having more than one tRNA (with a specific anti-codon) for a particular amino acid; and 'wobble' base-pairing, i.e. permitting non-standard base-pairing at the 3rd anti-codon position. The record is from Rfam by way of RNAcentral. Lineage: Eukaryota; Metazoa; Platyhelminthes; Cestoda; Cyclophyllidea; Taeniidae.